RNAcentral lists this ribosomal RNA (1384 nucleotides) under uncultured organism. Its description in RNAcentral is "16S ribosomal RNA". It matches the Rfam family "Bacterial small subunit ribosomal RNA". The record is from RNAcentral.
UUAGAGUUUGAUCCUGGCUCAGGACGAACGCUGGCGGCGUGCUUAACACAUGCAAGUCGAACGGAAAGGCCCUGCUUUUGUGGGGUGCUCGAGUGGCGAACGGGUGAGUAACACGUGAGUWACCUGCCCUUGACUUUGGGAUAACUUCAGGAAACUGGGGCUAAUACCGGAUAGGAGCUCCUGCUGCAUGGUGGGGGUUGGAAAGUUUCGGCGGUUGGGGAUGGACUCGCGGCUUAUCAGCUUGUUGGUGGGGUAGUGGCUUACCAAGGCUUUGACGGGUAGCCGGCCUGAGAGGGUGACCGGCCACAUUGGGACUGAGAUACGGCCCAGACUCCUACGGGAGGCAGCAGUGGGGAAUAUUGCACAAUGGGCGGAAGCCUGAUGCAGCAACGCCGCGUGCGGGAUGACGGCCUUCGGGUUGUAAACCGCUUUCGCCUGUGACGAAGCGUGAGUUACGGUAAUGGGUAAAGAAGCACCGGCUAACUACGUGCCAGCAGCCGCGGUGAUACGUAGGGUGCGAGCGUUGUCCGGAUUUAUUGGGCGUAAAGGGCUCGUAGGUGGUUGAUCGCGUCGGAAGUGUAAUCUUGGGGCUUAACCCUGAGCGUGCUUUCGAUACGGGUUGACUUGAGGAAGGUAGGGGAGAAUGGAAUUCCUGGUGGAGCGGUGGAAUGCGCAGAUAUCAGGAGGAACACCAGUGGCGAAGGCGGUUCUCUGGGCCUUUCCUGACGCUGAGGAGCGAAAGCGUGGGGAGCGAACAGGCUUAGAUACCCUGGUAGUCCACGCUGUAAACGGUGGGUACUAGGUGUGGGGUCCAUUCCACGGGUUCCGUGCCGUAWUAACGCUUUAAGUACCCCGCCUGGGGAGUACGGCCGCAAGGCUAAAACUCAAAGGAAUUGACGGGGCCCCGCACAAGCGGCGGAGCAUGCGGAUUAAUUCGAUGCAACGCGUAGAACCUUACCUGGGUUUGACAUGGAUCGGGAGUGCUCAGAGAUGGGUGUGCCUCUUUUGGGGUCGGUUCACAGGUGGUGCAUGGCUGUCGUCAGCUCGUGUCGUGAGAUGUUGGGUUAAGUCCCGCAACGAGCGCAACCCUUGUUCACUGUUGCCAGCACGUUAUGGUGGGGACUCAGUGGAGACCGCCGGGGUCAACUCGGAGGAAGGUGGGGAUGACGUCAAGUCAUCAUGCCCCUUAUGUCCAGGGCUUCACGCAUGCUACAAUGGCUGGUACAGAGAGUGGCGAGCCUGUGAGGGUGAGCGAAUCUCGGAAAGCCGGUCUCAGUUCGGAUUGGGGUCUGCAACUCGACCUCAUGAAGUCGGAGUCGCUAGUAAUCGCAGAUCAGCAACGCUGCGGUGAAUACGUUCCCGGGGCUUGCACACACCGCCCGUC